ACUCCUACGGGAGGCAGCAGUGAGGAAUAUUGGACAAUGGGGGCAACCCUGAUCCAGCAAUGCCGCGUGAGUGAUGAAGGCCUUCGGGUUGUAAAGCUCUUUUGGCGGGGACGAUGAUGACGGUACCCGCAGAAUAAGCCCCGGCUAACUUCGUGCCAGCAGCCGCGGUAAUACGAAGGGGGCUAGCGUUGUUCGGAAUUACUGGGCGUAAAGGGCGCGUAGGCGGUGAGUUAAGUCUGUUGUGAAAUCCCCGGGCUCAACCUGGGAAUGGCAAUGGAUACUGGCUCGCUAGAGUGUGAUAGAGGAUGGUGGAAUUCCCGGUGUAGCGGUGAAAUGCGUAGAGAUCGGGAGGAACAUCAGUGGCGAAGGCGGCCAUCUGGAUCAACACUGACGCUGAGGCACGAAAGCGUGGGGAGCAAACAGGAUUAGAUACCCUGGUAGUCCACGCCCUAAACGAUGCGAACUGGAUGUUGGUCUCAACUCGGAGAUCAGUGUCGAAGCUAACGCGUUAAGUUCGCCGCCUGGGGAGUACGGUCGCAAGACUGAAACUCAAAGGAAUUGACG
This 564-nucleotide ribosomal RNA is filed under the name uncultured Gammaproteobacteria bacterium. RNAcentral's name for it is "bacterial SSU rRNA". It matches the Rfam family "Bacterial small subunit ribosomal RNA", at positions 335 to 915 of the family's 1533-position model. Lineage: Bacteria; Pseudomonadati; Pseudomonadota; Gammaproteobacteria. The record is from RNAcentral.